AGCGGCACUCGGAGGUCGGUUCUGAAGCGGGUGUUUGCCAUGCGGUGCCCCCCGCGCUGCCCGGCCCGCUCCCGGCUCAGGGGAACUCGGCACGGCCCCAGCGCCGUGCUCUGAUCACCGCGCCCGCCGGCUCCGCACGGGACUCGGGGAUGCUGCGAACCUCAAAUUCCCCCGAGCACCGCCCCAGCUGCUCCGAGCUGUGGGUAACCUGGCUGCUGCAGAUCCUACGGACUCACAGGACGGUUUGGGCUGGGAAAGACCUUAGAAAUCAUCUGUUUGCAACAGCUGGUGUCAGUGCAAUGUUCCUAAAUCACACAGGUUACUGCAUUGAGGAUUGUGGAAAUCAUCUCAACAGAAGAUGCUUCCACAAAUUUCUUUUUCUCAGUCUGAGUUCAAUAAUCACUGCUUCUAACAGGAACAUUGAUGCUGAAUAGCAGCAUGGCAUAUACCCCUGUCUUAAAUAACUUGACCCCAAAUUCUUCCCGUGGUCUCUUCCUCCUCUACCUUCUGCCCAGUCUGCUGGCAUCCCAGGAACUUCCUUGGGGCCCUCUAUAUUCCUCCACCCAUGCUGGCAGCAGGGAUGAAAUGGAGCAGCUUGGCUCAAACUCUGUGAUCCACCCCUCCAGUAAUUUAAACAGAGCCUGAUGGGCUGCAGCAGCAGGAGCCGUGUGCUCUCAUCUCUAGUCUAGUGGGUAAAGAAAACCUUGUGUGGAGAACUGCUGAGCUUCCCUUUAAUGUCAUUCAAAUAUAUUAGCAGGCAGUCUUGUGGGUGUUAGUCCUUGGGGACUUCCAAUAAUGUUCAGGAGUUACACAGAAUCACAGAAUGAACUAGGUUGGAAAAGACCUUUGAGAUCAUCAAGUCCAACCUAUGUCCUAACCUAACACUUCCUCAUCAACUAAACCAUGGCACUGAGUGCAUCUUCAGUCUUUUAAACACCUCCAGGGAUGGUGACUCCACCACCUCCCCAGGCAGACCAUUCCAAUGACUCCUUCAGUGAAGAAUUUUUUUCUAACAGCUAACCUAAACUUGCCUUGGCGCAGCUUUUAGGAUUGUGUCUUCUCAUUCUGUCAGUGCUGCCUGGGAGAAGAGACUGACCCCACCUGGCUGCAGCCACCUUUUCAGGAGUUGUAGAGAGUGAUAAGGUCACCUCUGAGUCUCCUUUUCUCCAGGCUAAACAACCCCAGCUCCCUCAGCCAUUCCUCACAGGGUUUGUGUUCCCAGCCCCUCACCAGCCUUCUUGCCUCCUCUGGACACGUUGGAGUGUCUCAAGGUCCUUCCUAAACUGUGGGGCCAGAACUGGACACAGCACUCGAGAGGUGAACAAACACCCUGGGCUUAUCUGGACUUACCUGGAAGCCUCUGACAUCUUUCAAAGACUCAGCACCUUCACUGAAUUUUCUGUGGCACUCACGUGGUAUCCACUGAUACGGACAGAGGAGUUGACUGCCUAGGACAUGGAGUAUCUGAAAGUGUAAGACUUGUCAAGGUUCCAGAGGUACAAGGUGCCCUCUCAGUGGUGAAUGCUGCUGCAUCCAUUUGGCAGCCAGUCACCAGUGGUGUCUCUCAGGAGUCUGUGCUGAGACCAGUUCUGUUCAAUAUUUUUAUUGAUGACAUGGAUGAGGGUAUUAAAUCUUUCAUUAGUAAAU
Molecule: long non-coding RNA, 1647 nt
Organism: Parus major (Great Tit)
Lineage: Eukaryota; Metazoa; Chordata; Aves; Passeriformes; Paridae
Exons: 3
Source: RefSeq, a predicted model, not a curated record